This is a non-coding RNA of Brachypodium distachyon (stiff brome), 125 nucleotides long. The record is from Rfam. NCBI's taxonomy places the organism in Eukaryota, Viridiplantae, Streptophyta, Magnoliopsida, Poales, Poaceae.
AACGUACUCCCUCUGAUCCUAAUUAAUUGUCGAAAUAUUACAUGUAUCUAGACACAUUUUGGGCAUAGAUACAUCCAUAUUUGGGCAAAUUCGAGACAAUUAAUGUGGAUCGGAGGGAGUACAAU